Molecule: ribosomal RNA, 483 nt
Filed under: uncultured bacterium
Lineage: Bacteria
Description: partial 16S ribosomal RNA
Rfam family: Bacterial small subunit ribosomal RNA
Source: RNAcentral
GACGAACGCCGGCGGCGUGCUUAACACAUGCAAGUCGAACGAUGAAGCCGGAGCUUGCUCCGGUGGAUUAGUGGCGAACGGGUGAGUAACACGUGAGCAAUCUGCCCUUGACUCUGGGAUAACUGCGGGAAACUGUAGCUAAUACCGGAUACGACACCUUGGGGCAUCCCAGGGUGUGGAAAGAAUUUCGGUCAAGGAUGAGCUCGCGGCCUAUCAGCUAGUUGGUGAGGUAAUGGCUCACCAAGGCGACGACGGGUAGCCGGCCUGAGAGGGUGACCGGCCACACUGGAACUGAGACACGGUCCAGACUCCUACGGGAGGCAGCAGUGGGGAAUAUUGCACAAUGGGCGAAAGCCUGAUGCGGCAACGCCGCGUGAGGGAUGAAGGCCUUCGGGUUGUAAACCUCUUUUAGCAGGGAAGAAGCGAAAGUGACGGUACCUGCAGAAAAAGCACCGGCUAACUACGUGCCAGCAGCCGCGGUAA